GGGAAGGAAAAAAAACAUACACAGCUGUGGACCACUUCUAAACACCCCUGUCUACGAUGUGAUUGGAUGAUGCAUAAACAUGGCUUUCUACAGCAAUGAUGCUGCUGUUCUUCUAAUGAAGCAAGUCUGUGGAAACUGGCUGCAAUCCUCAGCCAAUGAAGCAACUAGGACUUGGAACUGGAAAGAGGGGCACAACACUGAGGGGCAGAAUAAGCAGAAAGUAAGGGACCUGAUGAAGGUUUUAUAUCAGUUCUGCCAGUCUACAAAAGCAGCUAAUUAUUGCAUGAGCUUCAGAGCCAACUGAAAUAACUCCACAGGACGGUUAUAAAAUCCUAUGAUUAUUGGUGUCACAGACACCAGUACCACAUAUGCAAGUGGGACAUAGAAAAUGCCUUGACCGAUUCUGUGGUUCCAGAAUUGUCUGAUGAUGUCAUAGCCUGAGAACCUCUCCAGUAAUCCCAGAAGUCCUUGUUAAGAUCUCUUUCACAUUAGGUGGCUAAGAAACCAUGGCGUCUGUUGACACAACCCUGAAUAUCAUCAACUGUGCUUUGCAUGACAGAGCUGGGGGCAGUCCUAUCAACAUUACACAUCAGGGAGACUGGAAGUCCCUCUCUUGAGUCCCA
RNAcentral lists this long non-coding RNA (623 nucleotides) under Cricetulus griseus (Chinese hamster). Its description in RNAcentral is "lncRNA (ENSCGRG00015035236.1)". The record is from RNAcentral. Lineage: Eukaryota; Metazoa; Chordata; Mammalia; Rodentia; Cricetidae.